GUAGGUGGCAAGCGUUGUCCGGAAUUAUUGGGCGUAAAGCGCGCGCAGGCGGUUCUUUAAGUCUGAUGUGAAAGCCCACGGCUCAACCGUGGAGGGUCAUUGGAAACUGGAGAACUUGAGUACAGAAGAGGAAAGCGGAAUUCCACGUGUAGCGGUGAAAUGCGUAGAGAUGUGGAGGAACACCAGUGGCGAAGGCGGCUUUCUGGUCUGUAACUGACGCUGAGGCGCGAAAGCGUGGGGAGCAAACAGGGAUUAGAUACCCUGGUAGUCCACGCCGUAAACGAUGAGUGCUAAGUGUUAGGGGGGUUUCCGCCCCCUUAGUGCUGCAGCUAACGCAUUAAGCACUCCGCCUGGGGAGUACGGCCGCAAGGCUA
RNAcentral lists this ribosomal RNA (374 nucleotides) under uncultured organism. RNAcentral's name for it is "partial 16S ribosomal RNA". It matches the Rfam family "Bacterial small subunit ribosomal RNA", at positions 527 to 896 of the family's 1533-position model. The record is from RNAcentral.